Molecule: non-coding RNA, 119 nt
Organism: Pteropus alecto (black flying fox)
Lineage: Eukaryota; Metazoa; Chordata; Mammalia; Chiroptera; Pteropodidae
Source: Rfam
GUCUAUGGCCAUGCCAUCCUGAACACGCCAGAUCUCGUCUGAUCUCAGAAGCUAAGCAGGGUCAAGCCUGGUUAAUACUUGGAUGGGAGACCACCUAGGAAUAUCAGGUGCUAUAGGUG